AAGAGAAGAGAAGAGAGGACGAGUCGCUCCGUCUUCUUCCUCCUCUUCUUCUCACAGGACACAAACCCAACCCGCAUCGGAAUCGGAAUCGGAAUCGGCAUCGGCACCGGCAGCGGCAGCGAGGUCGUCGUCGCCCUCCUCCGCCCGCCCCCCAGCCCACUCCAGGAAUCCGCAACGUCCAUGGACGGCGCGGCUGACCCCGGCACNN
This 208-nucleotide long non-coding RNA is filed under the name Oryza brachyantha (malo sina). Its description in RNAcentral is "long non-coding RNA (OBRA_LNC000003)". Lineage: Eukaryota; Viridiplantae; Streptophyta; Magnoliopsida; Poales; Poaceae. The record is from RNAcentral.